AUCCAGAGAACUUAGCAGNGAUGCUUUGGUGCCUUCGGGAACUCUGAGACAGGUGCUGCAUGGCUGUCGUCAGCUCGUGUUGUGAAAUGUUGGGUUAAGUCCCGNAACGAGCGCAACCCUUAUCCUUUGUUGCCAGCGGUUCGGCCGGGAACUCAAAGGAGACUGCCGGUGAUAAACCGGAGGAAGGUGGGGAUGACGUCAAGUCAUCAUGGCCCUUACGGCCAGGGCUACACACGUGCUACAAUGGCGCAUACAAAGAGAAGCGACCUCGCGAGAGCAAGCGGACCUCAUAAAGUGCGUCGUAGUCCGGAUUGGAGUCUGCAACUCGACUCCAUGAAGUCGGAAUCGCUAGUAAUCGUAGAUCAGAAUGCUACGGUGAAUACGUUCCCGGGCCUUGUACACACCGCCCGUCACACCAUGGGAGUGGGUUGCAAAAGAAGUGGGUAGCUUAACCUUCGGGAGGGCGCUUACCACUUUGUGAUUCAUGACUGGGGUGAAGUCGUAACAAGGUAAGCGUAGCGAG
Molecule: ribosomal RNA, 523 nt
Filed under: uncultured bacterium
Lineage: Bacteria
Description: bacterial SSU rRNA
Rfam family: Bacterial small subunit ribosomal RNA
Source: RNAcentral